AACGAACGCUGGCGGCAUGCCUAACACAUGCAAGUCGAACGAGACCUUCGGGUCUAGUGGCGCACGGGUGCGUAACGCGUGGGAAUCUGCCCUGGGGUGCGGAAUAACUCGGAGAAAUCCGUGCUAAUACCGCAUAAUGUCUUCGGACCAAAGAUUUAUCGCCCUGGGAUGAGCCCGCGUAGGAUUAGCUAGUUGGUGGGUAAAGGCCUACCAAGGCGACGAUCCUUAGCUGGUCUGAGAGGAUGAUCAGCCACACUGGGACUGAGACACGGCCCAGACUCCUACGGGAGGCAGCAGUGGGAAUAUUGGACAAUGGGCGAAAGCCUGAUCCAGCAAUGCCGCGUGAGUGAUGAAGGCCCUAGGGUUGUAAAGCUCUUUUACCCGGGAUGAUAAUGACAGUACCGGGAGAAUAAGCUCCGGCUAACUCCGUGCCAGCAGCCGCGGUAAU
This 448-nucleotide ribosomal RNA is filed under the name uncultured bacterium. Its description in RNAcentral is "bacterial SSU rRNA". It matches the Rfam family "Bacterial small subunit ribosomal RNA", at positions 29 to 524 of the family's 1533-position model. The record is from RNAcentral.